This is a non-coding RNA of Ceratotherium simum simum (southern white rhinoceros), 201 nucleotides long. NCBI's taxonomy places the organism in Eukaryota, Metazoa, Chordata, Mammalia, Perissodactyla, Rhinocerotidae. The record is from RefSeq and is a predicted model, not a curated record.
ACAGGCCUGGGGUUCUCCUUUUAUUGGAGUCAAGGGUGGGGACCUAGGAUUUUGCCAGCUCACUCUUUAUUGGUGAAUUUAGAACAUAAAGAGUGGGAAUUUAAAGCACAGGAAAAGAAAAAACAGGUGGCCCAAAUGGUCAGUUAUCUCAAAAUCAACGAAGAUCUCUAAAACAAAGGGUUGGGGGCCAGGGGCUAGAAC